Molecule: small nucleolar RNA, 130 nt
Organism: Arvicanthis niloticus (Nile rat)
Lineage: Eukaryota; Metazoa; Chordata; Mammalia; Rodentia; Muridae
Product: small nucleolar RNA SNORA71
Source: RefSeq, a predicted model, not a curated record
CCCUGCAUCCGAAAGUGGUCUUGGCUGCUUGUGCCGAGGUCAUUGGUAAUGCAGGGAAAGGAUGCUGAAAGACAUGUUCCUAGCUCAGGGCGUCUAUCCUGACCCCUUCAGAUCCUGGAGCUUUCCUACA